This 470-nucleotide ribosomal RNA is filed under the name uncultured bacterium. RNAcentral's name for it is "SSU rRNA". It matches the Rfam family "Bacterial small subunit ribosomal RNA", at positions 26 to 518 of the family's 1533-position model. The record is from RNAcentral.
AGGAACAACGCUGGCGGCGUGCCUAAUGCAUGCAAGUCGAACGGGAGCCUCUUCGGAGGUCGACCGUGGCGGACGGGUGAGGAACACGUGGGUAACCCAUCCGAGCGCGGGGGAUAACGGCGGGAAACCGUCGGUAAUAUCCCAUGAGCUUGGUUUCCGAUGGGGAGAUCAAGCAAAGGUGGAGACACCGUGCUUGGCGGGGCCUGCGGCCUAUCAGCUAGUUGGGGGGGUAUGGCCCACCAAGGCGAUGACGGGUAGCUGGUCUGAGAGGACGAUCAGCCACACGGGGACUGAGACACGGCCCCGACUCCUACGGGAGGCAGCAGCAAGGAAUUUUCCGCAAUGGGCGCAAGCCUGACGGAGCGACGCCGCGUGGAGGAAGACACUUUUCGGAGCGUAAACUCCUUUCUGGGGAUGAAGAAGUGACAGUACCCAGGAAGAAGGACCGCUAACUACGCGCCAGCAGCCGC